AUGCUAGGCCCCGCCCCAUCCCUGCUCCGUGGCUGGUUUUCUCCGUGGGCGCCUCAGACGGGACCUGGAGAUGUGGGCAGCGCCUGGGGGAGCCCUGGCUGGGUGCAGUUCAUGCUCUGCCUAGCUGACUUAGUGCUCUCGCUCUAUGUGCUGCACGUGAAGGCGGCGCGCCCAUGGAACCCGUAUUACCAUGCGCUCUGCGACGUGGGCACUGCCAUCAGCUGUUUGCGCAUUUUCUCCAGGUGGGGCAUGGGCUUUGGGCUGGUGGGGCACGUGCUAGGAAAGGACAGCAUCCUCAAUCAAUCCAACAGCAUAUUCGGUUGCAUCUUCCACAAGCUACAGCUGUUGUUAGGUUGGUUGCCUAAGGACACUCUGGGCCUCCGUCCUGCUGCUGCUGAGAUCCCCGGUGUCUCUCGCUGAUUCAACCUACCUGGCCUGGAUGCUGUUCUUCGUGCUCUAUGAUUUCUGCAUCAUUUGUAUCACCACCUAUGCCAUCAACGUGGGCCUGAUGUGGCUCAGUUUCUGGAAGGUCCAAGAACCCCAGGGCAAGGCUGAGGCACUAAGCUCUCACCCCAAGCCUGGCUGGCCUUGUCUGCUUUGCUUUGGCAUGUGAGCCUUGCCCAAGGAGGCCUAUCUGGGUCCCUAGAAGGUCCUAGAUGCAGGGCCUUCUAGAGUCCCCUCUCCCCUUGCCAUUCCCACACUCAACAAUGGACCAAAUGUGCCACACGCUCGCUCUUUUUUUCUACCCAGGUGCCUCUGACUCUGUCUCCAAGGGCUGGUCUCCGAAGCUCUUGCCAUUGCCCAGGGAGGGAAGGUUCUGAGCGAUAAAAUUUCUUAGAUUAA
Molecule: non-coding RNA, 843 nt
Organism: Saimiri boliviensis boliviensis (Bolivian squirrel monkey)
Lineage: Eukaryota; Metazoa; Chordata; Mammalia; Primates; Cebidae
Source: RefSeq, a predicted model, not a curated record